This 760-nucleotide ribosomal RNA is filed under the name uncultured Peptostreptococcus sp. RNAcentral's name for it is "bacterial SSU rRNA". It matches the Rfam family "Bacterial small subunit ribosomal RNA", at positions 28 to 776 of the family's 1533-position model. Lineage: Bacteria; Bacillati; Bacillota; Clostridia; Peptostreptococcales; Peptostreptococcaceae. The record is from RNAcentral.
GAUGAACGCAGGCGACGUGCCUAACACAUGCAAGUCGAGCGAGGGUUUGCUCAGUAUUGAGUAUUCUCAGAUUAGAUGUUCAAUUCUGAGCAAAACCAAGCGGCGGACGGGUGAGUAACGCGUGGGUAACCUGCCCUAUACACAUGGAUAACAUACUGAAAAGUUUACUAAUACAUGAUAAUAUAUAUUUGCGGCAUCGCAGAUAUAUCAAAGUGUAGCGGUAUAGGAUGGACCCGCGUCUGAUAAGCUAGUUGGUGAGAUAACUGCCCACCAAGGCGACGAUCAGUAGCCGACCUGAGAGGGUGAUCGGCCACAUUGGAACUGAGACACGGUCCAAACUCCUACGGGAGGCAGCAGUGGGGAAUAUUGCACAAUGGGCGAAAGCCUGAUGCAGCAACGCCGCGUGAACGAUGAAGGUCUUCGGAUCGUAAAGUUCUGUUGCAGGGGAAGAUAAUGACGGUACCCUGUGAGGAAGCCCCGGCUAACUACGUGCCAGCAGCCGCGGUAAUACGUAGGGGGCUAGCGUUAUCCGGAUUUACUGGGCGUAAAGGGUGCGUAGGUGGUCCUUCAAGUCGGUGGUUAAAGGCUACGGCUCAACCGUAGUAAGCCGCCGAAACUGGAGGACUUGAGUGCAGGAGAGGAAAGUGGAAUUCCCAGUGUAGCGGUGAAAUGCGUAGAUAUUGGGAGGAACACCAGUAGCGAAGGCGGCUUUCUGGACUGCAACUGACACUGAGGCACGAAAGCGUGGGUAGCAAACAGG